GGUGAGCACGGGCCGGCAGGCGCGGGAACUGGGAGGGGGGGAGCGGUGGUCGGAGUGACUGGGCGGAAAGCGCACGCAGGCGGCCCGCCAAGUUUGAGGUGACAGUCUCCGGCUUAACUGGAGAAGGACCUUGAAGACUGGAGGGCUUGAGGACUUGAGAGGGACACGGAAUUCCGGGUGUAGUGGUGAAAUGCGUAGAUAUCCGGAGGAACACCGAAGGCGAAGGCAGUGUCCUGGCAAGGUCCUGACGCUCAGGUGCGAAAGCCAGGGGAGCGAACGGGAUUAGAUACCCCGGUAGUC
RNAcentral lists this ribosomal RNA (300 nucleotides) under uncultured Desulfurococcus sp. Its description in RNAcentral is "partial 16S ribosomal RNA". It matches the Rfam family "Bacterial small subunit ribosomal RNA", at positions 495 to 795 of the family's 1533-position model. The record is from RNAcentral. Lineage: Archaea; Thermoproteati; Thermoproteota; Thermoprotei; Desulfurococcales; Desulfurococcaceae.